AAUAAAUUAUGCCCUCAUGUGUCUUUGUGGAAACUCCACAGACAGCUCUCUCUGCUUUAUGCUGUUUUUAGUGGAGAGGUAUGGCACCAGAAAUAAACACUCAAAUAUGUAUACAAUCAUAAAUUAUGACAAGCUUCUCAAAGAAAAAAAUCCCAAAUUUCUAAUUAAUGAACUUUUAGAUGAUAAGAAGUAUCAUUUAAAGUCACCAAAUUGUGAUAAUAUAUAAUUAUAUACCAUAUAUAUUUCCCAAAUAUAUGCACAUAUAUUUUUUAAAACAGAAGUCCUGAACGUCAUUAAUUUUCCACGAAUACCCACCACCACGACCCGCAUGGAACGUUCGCUGAGGUCAGAGGGCAGCCGACCUCGGGGCUGGGCAGCCUGAAGUGUCUCAGAAGCUGCUUCUGUUUCUCCAGGUCCUUCCACACCUCCUGGAGCACGUAGACCAGGGGACACAGGACUGAUGCAGAUGACGUCAUCUGUGCAGGCUGCCCCGACAGCGCUGGCACUGGGUCCAGAGCACGAGAAGCGAUGCUCUGGGGCGUUCAGGCGCGACACCUCUCUCUGACACGGCCCUGACUCCCGGGCUGGCAGAAUUUGCACAGGGCUCCCUGGUUGCCCAGGAGGACAGUGCGGCAGCAGACGCAGCAAUUGUGGCAUUUGGGGAAGGUCAGGAGGCCGCUUACCUUGCCAAUCAGGGCCGUCUUGCGAAGCCUCUGGUCCCCACACGGCCCUGGCCCAGCAAGGGCUGGAAGCCGUCAGGAGCCACCUGGCAGUGUCCUGGAUGUCCCUGGCAGGCUGCUCUCCAGCACGACCCCGAGGAGUCCACACCCUUGACGGCACCAGUGAUCACAUAAAGAACAUAGUUGCCCAGACUGGUGCCGUCCCCGGGUCCCCCUUCCUCAUCCUCCAGGGCCAGCUCCGUGGGGGCCUGCUUACCCUGCUGACCCUGGGCAGCUGGGAGAUGGCCCUGCGAUUGCACAGCAGUUAUCAUUGUAAAAAUGAUGUAAUUUUUUGCAAAUAUUGGCUGGCAACUUUAAGAGGUUAGAAGAUUCAUACUUCCUGAC
RNAcentral lists this long non-coding RNA (1064 nucleotides) under Felis catus (domestic cat). RNAcentral's name for it is "lncRNA (ENSFCAG00000049872.1)". Lineage: Eukaryota; Metazoa; Chordata; Mammalia; Carnivora; Felidae. The record is from RNAcentral.